RNAcentral lists this ribosomal RNA (449 nucleotides) under uncultured bacterium. RNAcentral describes it as "bacterial SSU rRNA". It matches the Rfam family "Bacterial small subunit ribosomal RNA", at positions 329 to 794 of the family's 1533-position model. The record is from RNAcentral.
GUCCAGACUUCUACGGGAGGCAGCAGUGGGGAAUAUUGCACAAUGGGGGAAACCCUGAUGCAGCGACGCCGCGUGAGCGAUGAAGUAUUUCGGUAUGUAAAGCUCUAUCAGCAGGGAAGAAAAUGACGGUACCUGACUAAGAAGCCCCGGCUAACUACGUGCCAGCAGCCGCGGUAAUACGUAGGGGGCAAGCGUUAUCCGGAUUUACUGGGUGUAAAGGGAGCGUAGACGGCAAUGCAAGCCAGAUGUGAAAGCCCGGGGCUCAACCCCGGGACUGCAUUUGGAACUGUGUAGCUGGAGUGUCGGAGAGGCAGGCGGAAUUCCUAGUGUAGCGGUGAAAUGCGUAGAUAUUAGGAGGAACACCAGUGGCGAAGGCGGCCUGCUGGACGAUGACUGACGUUGAGGCUCGAAAGCGUGGGGAGCAAACAGGAUUAGAUACCCCUGUAUGU